RNAcentral lists this ribosomal RNA (1211 nucleotides) under Salegentibacter sp. Its description in RNAcentral is "bacterial SSU rRNA". The record is from RNAcentral. Lineage: Bacteria; Pseudomonadati; Bacteroidota; Flavobacteriia; Flavobacteriales; Flavobacteriaceae.
CUGGCUCAGGAUGAACGCUAGCGGCAGGCCUAACACAUGCAAGUCGAGGGGGUAACAUAGAAAAGCUUGCUUUUCUGAUGACGACCGGCGCACGGGUGAGUAACGCGUAUACAACCUACCUUUUAGCGGGGAAUAGCCCAGGGAAACUUGGAUUAAUGUCCCAUAGUAUGGAGGUCUCUCCUGAGAUCAUCAUUAAACAUUUAUGGCUAUUAGAUGGGUAUGCGUCCUAUUAGUUAGUUGGUAAGGUAACGGCUUACCAAGGCAGCGAUAGGUAGGGGUCCUGAGAGGGAGAUCCCCCACACUGGUACUGAGACACGGACCAGACUCCUACGGGAGGCAGCAGUGAGGAAUAUUGGACAAUGGGCGRGAGCCUGAUCCAGCCAUGCCGCGUGCAGGAAGACUGCCCUAUGGGUUGUAAACUGCUUUUACAGAGGAAGRACCACUCCCACGUGUGGGAGUUUGACGGUACUCUGCGAAUAAGGAUCGGCUAACUCCGUGCCAGCAGCCGCGGUAAUACGGAGGAUCSGAGCGUUAUCCGGAAUCAUUGGGUUUAAAGGGUCCGUAGGCGGGCAAUUAAGUCAGUGGUGAAAGUCUUCCGCUCAACGGGAGAACUGCCAUUGAUACUGAUUGUCUUGAGUUAUUAUGAAGUGGUUAGAAUGAGUAGUGUAGCGGUGAAAUGCAUAGAUAUUACUCAGAAUACCGAUUGCGAAGGCAGAUCACUAAUAAUACACUGACSCUGAUGGACGAAAGCGUAGGUAGCGAACAGGAUUAGAUACCCUGGUAGUCUACSCCGUAAACGAUGGUUACUAGCUGUUCGGCCCGAUUAAGGGUUGAGUGGUUAAGCGAAAGUGAUAAGUAACCCACCUGGGGAGUACGUUCGCAAGAAUGAAACUCAAAGGAAUUGACGGGGGCCCGCACAAGCGGUGGAGCAUGUGGUUUAAUUCGAUGAUACSCGAGGAACCUUACCAGGGCUUAAAUGUAGUCUGACAGGACUGGAAACAGUUUUUUCUUCGGACAGAUUACAAGGUGCUGCAUGGUUGUCGUCAGCUCGUGCCGUGAGGUGUCAGGUUAAGUCYCUAUAACGAGCGCAACUCYYUGUGGGUUAGUUGCYCAGCGAGUCAAGUCGGGAACUCUAGCYAGACUGCUCGGUGCAAACYCGUGAGGGAAGGUGGGGGAUGACGUCAAAUCAUCACGGCYCYUUACGUCCUGGG